UACGGGGGGGGCAAGCGUUGUUCGGAAUUACUGGGCGUAAAGGGCGCGUAGGCGGCCUGUUAAGUCGAACGUGAAAUCCCCGGGCUCAACCCGGGAACUGCGUCCGAUACUGGCAGGCUUGAAUUCGGGAGAGGGAUGCGGAAUUCCAGGUGUAGCGGUGAAAUGCGUAGAUAUCGGGAGGAACACCAGUGGCGAAGGCGGCUAUCUGGACGAAUACUGACGCUGAAGUUCGAAAGCGUGGGGAGCAAACAGG
This 253-nucleotide ribosomal RNA is filed under the name uncultured bacterium. Its description in RNAcentral is "partial 16S ribosomal RNA". It matches the Rfam family "Bacterial small subunit ribosomal RNA", at positions 524 to 776 of the family's 1533-position model. The record is from RNAcentral.